This 282-nucleotide ribosomal RNA is filed under the name uncultured Pseudomonas sp. RNAcentral's name for it is "partial 16S ribosomal RNA". It matches the Rfam family "Bacterial small subunit ribosomal RNA", at positions 1107 to 1382 of the family's 1533-position model. Lineage: Bacteria; Pseudomonadati; Pseudomonadota; Gammaproteobacteria; Pseudomonadales; Pseudomonadaceae. The record is from RNAcentral.
GUCCUUAGUUACCACGCACGUUAUGGUCGGGCACUCUAAGGAGGACUGCCGGUGACAAACCGGAAGGAAGGUGGGGAGUGACGUCAAGUCAUCAUGGCCCUUACGGCCUGGGCUACACACGUGCUACAAUGGUCGGUACAAAGGGUUGCCAAGCCGCGAGGUGGAGCUAAUACCCAUAAAACCGAUCGUAGUCCGGAUCGCAGUCUGCAACUCGACUGCGUGAAGUCGGAAUCGCUAGUAAUCGUGAAUCAGAAUGUCACGGUGAAUACGUUCCCGGGCCUU